AAUUGACAGGCCACCUGCAGGGAUGCAGCAAGGCUUUAAAGGGAUAGGCAUCGGAUGCAUGGGAUGCUUUUGUUACAGCACAUGGCGAGAAGAAGACGGGCUGUCAUCUCCAGCGAAGCGUCCUCCGAAGCGCAUCAGCAAAGACACGUUUUCACUAAACAACUGUGAGGAGAAGCAUUGACAUCAUCUGUUGGUGGUGUCAUAAACCCUGACCUGUGCUGCCUACCUAAGUCCUACCUAUUGAAACAAUGUAUUGAACCCUUUCGUCCUGGUUGCCCUGGUUACAGCCACUUAUCAAGGAGAGGUCUUAAAGAUCAAACAGGUGUGGUAUCCAGUUGCCACGAUCCUCCCGUUGCUAUUGACCUUUGUUCGGCGCUGAGCACAGGUGCACGCCAGUGCCGCAGAGCACGGCGAGUGUACACAAAAACAUGAUGGAGAGACAAAAAGAAUUUCGCCUCACCGCUGUGGUGCCAUAAACUGCUCAGCGACCUAUCUGUGCUUCAGAAAGGGGGAAAGGAAGGGGGUUGCAGAGUAAAGUCAGACUGAAAUUCGACAUCAGAGGUGGGCCCAGCGAGGGGCCCUGACUGACGGUGAAAGCUCGAGUUCACCUAGACGUAUCUAUUGCUCUCCCACUGAUCGCUAGCACUCCUCGCCGUCCACCCCAGGAAACUCCCGCUAGCAGGAGUCCGCCGCACUUCCCCCACACAAUAGCACACAGUCACGUGGCGUAUAUUGUCAUGUU
Molecule: long non-coding RNA, 742 nt
Organism: Sinocyclocheilus anshuiensis
Lineage: Eukaryota; Metazoa; Chordata; Actinopteri; Cypriniformes; Cyprinidae
Exons: 3
Source: RefSeq, a predicted model, not a curated record